UCAUCUAAAGCUAAAUAUUGGCCAGAGACCGAUAGCGCACAAGUAGAGUGAUCGAAAGAUGAAAAGCACUUUGGAAAGAGAGUUAAACAGCACGUGAAAUUGUUGAAAGGGAAGCGCUUGCAAUCAGACUUGCGCGUAGGUAAUCAAGGGCGGUUCGCUGCCCUGCACUUGCCUGCGCUCAGGCCAGCAUCAGUUCUGGGGGUGGGAGAAAGGCCGAUGGAAUGUGGCUCUUCGGAGUGUUAUAGCCAUCGGUGCCAUGCUGCCUCCCGGGACUGAGGACCGCGCUUCGGCUAGGAUGCUGGCGUAAUGAUUGUAAGCGACCCGUCUUGAAACACGGACCAAGGAGUCUAACAUCUAUGCGAGUGUUUGGGUGUCAAACCCACACGCGGAAUGAAAGUGAACGGAGGUGAGAGCCCUUGAGGGUGCAUCAUCGACCGAUCCUGAUGUCUUCGGAUGGAUUUGAGUAUGAGCAUAGCUGUUGGGACCCGAAAGAUGGUGAACUAUGCCUGAAUAGGGUGAAGCCAGAGGAAACUCUGGUGGAGGCUCGCAGCGGUUCUGACGUGCAAAUCGAUCGUCAAAUUUGGGCAUAGGGGCGAAAGACUAAUCGA
RNAcentral lists this ribosomal RNA (608 nucleotides) under Pilidium cuprescens. RNAcentral describes it as "partial large subunit ribosomal RNA". It matches the Rfam family "Eukaryotic large subunit ribosomal RNA", at positions 306 to 938 of the family's 3401-position model. Lineage: Eukaryota; Fungi; Ascomycota; Leotiomycetes; Chaetomellales; Chaetomellaceae. The record is from RNAcentral.